Molecule: non-coding RNA, 22 nt
Filed under: Arabidopsis thaliana (thale cress)
Lineage: Eukaryota; Viridiplantae; Streptophyta; Magnoliopsida; Brassicales; Brassicaceae
Source: RNAcentral
UGAAGUUGUUGUACCCUUUGUA